UUCGUUCUAUAAUCCUUUAUAUA
This 23-nucleotide transfer RNA is filed under the name Potentilla alchemilloides. RNAcentral's name for it is "partial tRNA-Gly". The record is from RNAcentral. Lineage: Eukaryota; Viridiplantae; Streptophyta; Magnoliopsida; Rosales; Rosaceae.